UGGGGAAUAUUGGACAAUGGGCGCAAGCCUGAUCCAGCAAUGCCGCGUGUGUGAAGAAGGCCUUCGGGUUGUAAAGCACUUUUAUCAGGAGCGAAAUACUACGGGUUAAUAACCUGUGGGGCUGACGGUACCUGAGGAAUAAGCACCGGCUAACUUCGUGCCAGCAGCCGCGGUAAUACGAAGGGUGCAAGCGUUAAUCGGAAUUACUGGGCGUAAAGCGUGCGUAGGCGGUUUGUUAAGUCUGCUGUGAAAUCCCCGGGCUCAACCUGGGAAUGGCAGUGGAUACUGGACGGCUAGAGUGUGUCAGAGGGUGGUGGAAUUCCCGGUGUAGCGGUGAAAUGCGUAGAGAUCGGGAGGAACAUCAGUGGCGAAGGCGGCCACCUGGGACAACACUGACGCUGAGGCACGAAAGCGUGGGGAGCAAACA
RNAcentral lists this ribosomal RNA (427 nucleotides) under uncultured Dyella sp. RNAcentral describes it as "bacterial SSU rRNA". It matches the Rfam family "Bacterial small subunit ribosomal RNA", at positions 355 to 774 of the family's 1533-position model. Lineage: Bacteria; Pseudomonadati; Pseudomonadota; Gammaproteobacteria; Lysobacterales; Rhodanobacteraceae. The record is from RNAcentral.